UACGGGGGGGGCAAGCGUUGUCCGGAAUUACUGGGCGUAAAGGGCUCGUAGGUGGCCAACUAAGUCGGACGUGAAAUCCCUCGGCUUAACCGGGGAACUGCAUCCGAUACUGGAUGGCUUGAGUUCGGGAGAGGGAUGCGGAAUUCCAGGUGUAGCGGUGAAAUGCGUAGAUAUCUGGAGGAACACCGGUGGUGUAGACGGCUAUCUGGACCGUAACUGACGCUGAGGCACGAAAGCGUGGGUAGCAAACAGG
RNAcentral lists this ribosomal RNA (253 nucleotides) under uncultured bacterium. Its description in RNAcentral is "partial 16S ribosomal RNA". It matches the Rfam family "Bacterial small subunit ribosomal RNA", at positions 524 to 776 of the family's 1533-position model. The record is from RNAcentral.